Molecule: unclassified non-coding RNA, 343 nt
Filed under: soil metagenome
Description: partial contains 5.8S ribosomal RNA, internal transcribed spacer 2, and large subunit ribosomal RNA
Rfam family: 5.8S ribosomal RNA (bases 1-120)
Source: RNAcentral
GAUGAAGAACGUAGCGAAAUGCGAUAAGUAAUGUGAAUUGCAGAAUUCAAUGAAUCAUCGAAUCUUUGAACGCACAUUGCGCCCGCCAGCAUUCUGGCGGGCAUGCCUGUUCGAGCGUCAUUUCAACCCUCGAGCCCCCCCGGGGGCCUCGGUGUUGGGGGACGGCACACCAGCCGCCCCCGAAAUGCAGUGGCGACCCCGCCGCAGCCUCCCCUGCGUAGUAGCACACACCUCGCACCGGAGCGCGGAGGCGGUCACGCCGUAAAACGCCCAACUUUCUUAGAGUUGACCUCGGAUCAGGUAGGAAUACCCGCUGAACUUAAGCAUAUCAAUAAGCGGAGGA